This 497-nucleotide ribosomal RNA is filed under the name uncultured bacterium. RNAcentral's name for it is "partial 16S ribosomal RNA". It matches the Rfam family "Bacterial small subunit ribosomal RNA", at positions 28 to 507 of the family's 1533-position model. The record is from RNAcentral.
GAUGAACGCUGGCGGCGUGCCUAAUACAUGCAAGUCGAGCGAACAGACGAGGAGCUUGCUCCUCUGACGUUAGCGGCGGACGGGUGAGUAACACGUGGAUAACCUACCUAUAAGACUGGGAUAACUUCGGGAAACCGGAGCUAAUACCGGAUAAUAUAUUGAACCGCAUGGUUCAAUAGUGAAAGACGGUUUUGCUGUCACUUAUAGAUGGAUCCACGCCGCAUUAGCUAGUUGGUAAGGUAACGGCUUACCAAGGCGACGAUGCGUAGCCGACCUGAGAGAGUCAUCAGCCACACUGGAACUGAGACACGGUCCAGACUCCUACGAGAAGCAGCAGUAGGGAAUCUUCCGCAAUGGGCGAAAGCUUGACGGAGCAACGCCGCGUGAGUGAUGAAGGUCUUCGGAUCGUAAAACUCUGUUAUUAGGGAAGAACAAAUGUGUAAGUAACUAUGCACGUCUUGACGGUACCUAAUCAGGAAGCCACGGCUAACUACGUG